CCUACGGGAGGCAGCAGUGGGGAAUAUUGGACAAUGGGGGCAACCCUGAUCCAGCCAUGCCGCGUGUGUGAAGAAGGCCCUCGGGUUGUAAAGCACUUUCAGUGAGGAAGAACGCCUGGUGGUUAAUACCCAUCAGGAAAGACAUCACUCACAGAAGAAGCACCGGCUAACUCCGUGCCAGCAGCCGCGGUAAUACGGAGGGGGCGAGCGUUAAUCGGAAUUACUGGGCGUAAAGCGCGCGUAGGUGGCUUGAUAAGCCGGUUGUGAAAGCCCCGGGCUCAACCUGGGAACGGCAUCCGGAACUGGCAAGCUAGAGUGCAGGAGAGGAAGGUAGAAUUCCCGGUGUAGCGGUGAAAUGCGUAGAGAUCGGGAGGAAUACCAGUGGCGAAGGCGGCCUUCUGGACUGACACUGACACUGAGGUGCGAAAGCGUGGGUAGCAAACAGGAUUAGAUACCCGAGUAGUC
This 465-nucleotide ribosomal RNA is filed under the name Vreelandella stevensii. RNAcentral's name for it is "partial 16S ribosomal RNA". It matches the Rfam family "Bacterial small subunit ribosomal RNA", at positions 338 to 795 of the family's 1533-position model. The record is from RNAcentral. Lineage: Bacteria; Pseudomonadati; Pseudomonadota; Gammaproteobacteria; Oceanospirillales; Halomonadaceae.